Molecule: ribosomal RNA, 490 nt
Filed under: uncultured bacterium
Lineage: Bacteria
Description: partial 16S ribosomal RNA
Rfam family: Bacterial small subunit ribosomal RNA
Source: RNAcentral
AUUGAACGCUGGCGGCAGGCCUAACACAUGCAAGUCGAAUGGUAACAGGAAACAGCUUGCUGUUUCGCUGACGAGUGGCGGACGGGUGAGUAAUGUCUGGGAAACUGCCUGAUGGAGGGGGAUAACUACUGGAAACGGUAGCUAAUACCGCAUAACGUCGCAAGACCAAAGAGGGGGACCUUCGGGCCUCUUGCCAUCAGAUGUGCCCAGAUGGGAUUAGCUAGUAGGUGGGGUAACGGCUCACCUAGGCGACGAUCCCUAGCUGGUCUGAGAGGAUGACCAGCCACACUGGAACUGAGACACGGUCCAGACUCCUACGGGAGGCAGCAGUGGGGAAUAUUGCACAAUGGGCGCAAGCCUGAUGCAGCCAUGCCGCGUGUAUGAAGAAGGCCUUCGGGCUGUAAAGUACUUUCAGCGGGGAGGAAGGGAGUAAAGUUAAUACCUUUGCUCAUUGACGUUACCCGCAGAAGAAGCACCGGCUAACUCCGUG